Molecule: non-coding RNA, 339 nt
Organism: Vicia faba (fava bean)
Lineage: Eukaryota; Viridiplantae; Streptophyta; Magnoliopsida; Fabales; Fabaceae
Source: the annotation of a GenBank genome assembly
AUGAAUGUGGCUGUUUAUAAGGGGAACAUAAAGGAGCAUGCUCCUUUUCGCGGCAACAAUAGAUACAUGUUUGGGGUUUGUUCAAGGUUUGAGCAUUGUGCUGUAGUAUUACUCUUCAAACUUUGUAAAAGAAUAGAGUGCACACUUAGAUGCAGAUUGGUUAGAAACUAUCAGACAUUUUACCCAAGCUAUAAUUUUUUGAAAAUUUAUAUGCAGGGUAGGCUUUCUUUGUUUUUAAUUGUUAUAUUGUACCCUGAAAAUUGUAGACAUAGAUUCACAGAAGUACUUUAUCUAUCUAGUCAAAUCAUUAUUUUGUUGUCAGCAAAAAUAUACGCUUAA